RNAcentral lists this ribosomal RNA (463 nucleotides) under Vreelandella stevensii. Its description in RNAcentral is "partial 16S ribosomal RNA". It matches the Rfam family "Bacterial small subunit ribosomal RNA", at positions 340 to 795 of the family's 1533-position model. The record is from RNAcentral. Lineage: Bacteria; Pseudomonadati; Pseudomonadota; Gammaproteobacteria; Oceanospirillales; Halomonadaceae.
CACGGGCGGCUGCAGUGGGGAAUAUUGGACAAUGGGCGAAAGCCUGAUCCAGCCAUGCCGCGUGUGUGAAGAAGGCCUUCGGGUUGUAAAGCACUUUCAGUGGGGAAGAAAGCCUUGGGGCUAAUACCCUCGAGGAAGGACAUCACCCACAGAAGAAGCACCGGCUAACUCCGUGCCAGCAGCCGCGGUAAUACGGAGGGUGCGAGCGUUAAUCGGAAUUACUGGGCGUAAAGCGCGCGUAGGCGGUCUGAUAAGCCGGUUGUGAAAGCCCCGGGCUCAACCUGGGAACGGCAUCCGGAACUGUCAGGCUAGAGUGCAGGAGAGGAAGGUAGAAUUCCCGGUGUAGCGGUGAAAUGCGUAGAGAUCGGGAGGAAUACCAGUGGCGAAGGCGGCCUUCUGGACUGACACUGACGCUGAGGUGCGAAAGCGUGGGUAGCAAACAGGAUUAGAUACCCCGGUAGUC